RNAcentral lists this ribosomal RNA (253 nucleotides) under uncultured bacterium. RNAcentral describes it as "partial 16S ribosomal RNA". It matches the Rfam family "Bacterial small subunit ribosomal RNA", at positions 524 to 776 of the family's 1533-position model. The record is from RNAcentral.
UACGUAGGGUGCGAGCGUUAUUCGGAAUUACUGGGCGUAAAGUGUGCGCAGGCGGCCGAGCAAGUCGAGUGUGAAAGCCCCGAGCUUAACUUGGGAACUGCGCUCGAAACUACUUGGCUAGAGUGUGGCAGAGGGAGGUGGAAUUCCACGUGUAGCGGUGAAAUGCGUAGAGAUGUGGAGGAACACCGAUGGCGAAGGCAGCCUCCUGGGCCAACACUGACGCUCAUGCACGAAAGCGUGGGGAGCAAACAGG